This 205-nucleotide ribosomal RNA is filed under the name uncultured bacterium. RNAcentral's name for it is "partial 16S ribosomal RNA". It matches the Rfam family "Bacterial small subunit ribosomal RNA", at positions 117 to 331 of the family's 1533-position model. The record is from RNAcentral.
GUAAGGACUUGCCCCAUAGUGGGGAAUAACUCACCGAAAGGUGGGGUAAUACCGCAUAUCCGGACUUGUCGGGAAAGGGAUAAACUGCCCGCUAAGGGAGAGACUUGCGGCCCAUCAGCUUGUUGGUAGGGUAAUGGCCUACCAAGGCAACGACGGGUAUCCGCCCUGAGAGGGGGAACGGACAGAAUGGUACUGAGACACGGAC